AGUCGAACGCACAGCGAAAGGUGCUUGCACCUUUCAAGUGAGUGGCGAACGGGUGAGUAACACGUGGACAACCUGCCUCAAGGCUGGGGAUAACAUUUGGAAACAGAUGCUAAUACCGAAUAAAACUUAGUGUCGCAUGACACAAAGUUAAAAGGCGCUUCGGCGUCACCUAGAGAUGGAUCCGCGGUGCAUUAGUUAGUUGGUGGGGUAAAGGCCUACCAAGACAAUGAUGCAUAGCCGAGUUGAGAGACUGAUCGGCCACAUUGGGACUGAGACACGGCCCAAACUCCUACGGGAGGCUGCAGUAGGGAAUCUUCCACAAUGGGCGAAAGCCUGAUGGAGCAACGCCGCGUGUGUGAUGAAGGCUUUCGGGUCGUAAAGCACUGUUGUAUGGGAAGAACAGCUAGAAUAGGAAAUGAUUUUAGUUUGACGGUACCAUACCAGAAAGGGACGGCUAAAUACGUGCCAGCAGCCGCGGUAAUACGUAUGUCCCGAGCGUUAUCCGGAUUUAUUGGGCGUAAAGCGAGCGCAGACGGUUUAUUAAGUCUGAUGUGAAAGCCCGGAGCUCAACUCCGGAAUGGCAUUGGAAACUGGUUAACUUGAGUGCAGUAGAGGUAAGUGGAACUCCAUGUGUAGCGGUGGAAUGCGUAGAUAUAUGGAAGAACACCAGUGGCGAAGGCGGCUUACUGGACUGCAACUGACGUUGAGGCUCGAAAGUGUGGGUAGCAAACAGGAUUAGAUACCCUGGUAGUCCACACCGUAAACGAUGAACACUAGGUGUUAGGAGGUUUCCGCCUCUUAGUGCCGAAGCUAACGCAUUAAGUGUUCCGCCUGGGGGAGUACGACCGCAAGGUUGAAACUCAAAGGAAUUGACGGGGACCC
Molecule: ribosomal RNA, 882 nt
Filed under: Leuconostoc mesenteroides subsp. mesenteroides
Lineage: Bacteria; Bacillati; Bacillota; Bacilli; Lactobacillales; Lactobacillaceae
Description: bacterial SSU rRNA
Rfam family: Bacterial small subunit ribosomal RNA
Source: RNAcentral